Molecule: ribosomal RNA, 572 nt
Filed under: Lysinibacillus fusiformis
Lineage: Bacteria; Bacillati; Bacillota; Bacilli; Caryophanales; Bacillaceae
Description: bacterial SSU rRNA
Rfam family: Bacterial small subunit ribosomal RNA
Source: RNAcentral
AGGAGCUUGCUCCUUUGACGUUAGCGGCGGACGGGUGAGUAACACGUGGGCAACCUACCCUAUAGUUUGGGAUAACUCCGGGAAACCGGGGCUAAUACCGAAUAAUCUCUUUUGCUUCAUGGUAAAAGACUGAAAGACGGUUUCGGCUGUCGCUAUAGGAUGGGCCCGCGGCGCAUUAGCUAGUUGGUGAGGUAACGGCUCACCAAGGCGACGAUGCGUAGCCGACCUGAGAGGGUGAUCGGCCACACUGGGACUGAGACACGGCCCAGACUCCUACGGGAGGCAGCAGUAGGGAAUCUUCCACAAUGGGCGAAAGCCUGAUGGAGCAACGCCGCGUGAGUGAAGAAGGUUUUCGGAUCGUAAAACUCUGUUGUAAGGGAAGAACAAGUACAGUAGUAACUGGCUGUACCUUGACGGUACCUUAUUAGAAAGCCACGGCUAACUACGUGCCAGCAGCCGCGGUAAUACGUAGGUGGCAAGCGUUGUCCGGAAUUAUUGGGCGUAAAGCGCGCGCAGGCGGUCCCUUUAAGUCUGAUGUGAAAAGCCCACGGCUCAACCCGUGGAGGGUCAUU